UCACAGACAAAAGAAAAAGAAGUCACUCACUGCACUCUAGCAUAGUAGGUGGCGGUAAUGCACCUUUCAGUUGGUUGCCAACCGCCAUUUAAAAGACAAAAGAAGAAGAAGUCACUCACUGUGACACGGACUGACAUGAGGCCAUUAGGGUUCAGAAAGUGCUCCGUUUUUGGUCGUUCCAACCAGCAUCGCAGCCUUUUCAUUUUACCGGCGGCGCGAGAAAGAAGAACUUUAUGGAUUAAUUUUAUUGUAAACGGAUGAAGCAAUUUAGAAGCAUUUAGUCAGUGGUGUCGGCACUGCUACGUAAAUGCUCCUUCAUGUGUGGACACAAUUUCACCUCCGUCUGCUUUGAAAACGAGGGUACAGUAUAUUUAUUACUGGGUUGAGGUUGAAGAAGCGCUCCGUUCCUACGAGACGUGAUCCACUUGCUCCUUCCCCAAAUGCAAGUACAUGCUUGAUACUUAUUGGAUGCUGACGCAUCCCAGCUACCGAAACGCUAUGAGGUUGUUUCUCAAACUGAUGCCACUGCAGGCUGUGGACACACAUCUGCCUUGUAGAAGAGUUGUUGCUCACCUCAGGAGCAAAGAGUGGUGUCAAGGAAAACAGCUGCAUCCUCCAUCUGUACAGCAGCUGCACUGCUUCCGAUGUCUUCCAAAAUGUAAUGAAGACAACAAAGAUCCUCACAUCUCCCCAGCCAACUGCCCAUGACUGUACCUGUUCCACUCCAAAAAUUAUGCUUUCAACAUAACUAUGAAUCCUACCCAUUCAUUUUGUGGUCUGCACCUUGAACUGUGAUGAUAACUUAUCCAGCAUUAUAGGGCUGGUGCAUUGGUUAACAAUAAAGUUGGCUUUGACUA
Molecule: long non-coding RNA, 857 nt
Organism: Betta splendens (Siamese fighting fish)
Lineage: Eukaryota; Metazoa; Chordata; Actinopteri; Anabantiformes; Osphronemidae
Exons: 3
Source: RefSeq, a predicted model, not a curated record